RNAcentral lists this ribosomal RNA (218 nucleotides) under Brachymyrmex sp. JTL07. Its description in RNAcentral is "partial large subunit ribosomal RNA". The record is from RNAcentral. Lineage: Eukaryota; Metazoa; Arthropoda; Insecta; Hymenoptera; Formicidae.
GAAUUUAAUAUAUUUAAAUGAAUUUAUGAUAUUUAUAUAAAUAUAUUUUAUUGGGAGGAUAAUUAAAUUUUGUAAACUUUAGAAGUAUAUAUAAAUAUUUACAUAAAUUAAUGGAAUUAAAGAAUAAUUUGAUUUUUUUUUAAAUUAUUUAAAAAUUAAUUACCUUAGGGAUAACAGCGUGAUAUUAUUAAAGAGAUCAUAUUGAUAUUAAUGUUUGC